AUAUGCCAGCUUACUAUCUUUGAACCAUCCUGAACUCAUCUGGUUUUGGAAGCUAAGCAGUUCAACCUGGUUGGUAGGUUGAUGGGAGACCACCACAGAAUAAGAUGUGCCAACUA
Molecule: ribosomal RNA, 116 nt
Filed under: Pogona vitticeps (central bearded dragon)
Lineage: Eukaryota; Metazoa; Chordata; Lepidosauria; Squamata; Agamidae
Source: RNAcentral